CCCUUAGAUGUCCUGGGCUGCACGCGCGCUACACUGGAAGUUACGGAUUGAGAUACUACCUUGUCCGAAAUGGUCCGGGUAAUCACCUAAAAGCUUGUCAUAAUUGGAAUGGAUUAUUGUAACUAGUAAUCCUGAACGAGGAAUUCCUAGUAAGUCCCAGUCAACAGCUGGUACUGAUUACGUCCCUGCCCUUUGUACACACCGCCCGUCGCUACUACUGAUUGGACGUUUAAGCAAGAUUUUUAAACACUGACAGUGUGUAGUUCACGCUAUGCUACAGUGAGAAGAAGAAGAUCGAGCUUACUUGUCUAGAGGAAGUAAAAGUCGUAACA
Molecule: ribosomal RNA, 332 nt
Filed under: uncultured eukaryote
Lineage: Eukaryota
Description: partial 18S ribosomal RNA
Rfam family: Eukaryotic small subunit ribosomal RNA
Source: RNAcentral